Molecule: long non-coding RNA, 893 nt
Filed under: Rattus norvegicus (Norway rat)
Lineage: Eukaryota; Metazoa; Chordata; Mammalia; Rodentia; Muridae
Description: long non-coding RNA NONRATT002000
Source: RNAcentral
AUUAUGUAGCCCAGGUCUCCACAUUCGGUUUGGAUACUCCGAUGUUGGUUUUGCUCACCCCUCCUCAGAGCAAAGCCCCAAGUAGUAAUGAGUUUCCAAGUUCAAGGCACUGAAUGGGAAGCAGAGCUUUAAAACCAGUGAGCAGAAGCAGUUGCUGAACUAAAGAAGAGAACCUGUCAGAUAGAGAAAGUAGCUGAGCUAAGCUGGGUGUUGUGAGGAGGGGACCAGCAUUUACCAGGGAGCAGGUUCAGCAGCUUGGUCUGGGAUUUCUAGAGAAGCAGUGGCUUCUGACCUAGGGCUGAAUGGCUUGUGUACUGUUCCGUUGGCUUGCCCGUCUACCCCAACGCCCCAACGCCCCAAUGCCCCAACGCCCCAACGCCCCAACACCCCACCACCCCACCAUGCUUUUAUGUGUGUUGCUGAGCUGUGAUGCAUGUGUCUUUGUGUUGAUUGUGUCAUUGUUUAAAACAAUAGAGAAACAGCCAGACUCUUUUCAAGGAUAUUCUGUCCGCGAAGUUGAUGUCCCAGAUGGCGGCAGCACGGACACCUGAAGAGGCAACCCAGGUGCAUAAGGUGUUCACCGCUCGUCUUCGUGUCUGCUUCCGCUCCCCUCCUCCAUGAGUAUCUGCUCACAGCCAGAAAUACGAUCUUUAAUGCCAGUUUAUCUUCAGAUAGGUUUUGAAUGUUUAAAAAGUUAGGCUCCUAAUAGCCAAAAACCAAGCCAGAGGGGUGGUGACGCAUGUCUUUAGUCCCAGUAUUGGGGAAGUAGAGGGAGGUGGAUCUCUGUGAGUUCAAGGCCAGCCUGGUCUUCAGAGUGAGUUCAAGGACAGCCAUGGCUACACAGAGAAUCCCUGUCUGGAAAAACAAAACAAAAUUAACAAAAGCUGGGCUCC